AUUGAACACUGGCGGCAGGCCUAACACAUGCAAGUCGAGCGGAUGAAGGGAGCUUGCUCCUGGAUUCAGCGGCGGACGGGUGAGUAAUGCCUAGGAAUCUGCCUGGUAGUGGGGGAUAACGUCCGGAAACGGGCGCUAAUACCGCAUACGUCCUGAGGGAGAAAGUGGGGGAUCUUCGGACCUCACGCUAUCAGAUGAGCCUAGGUCGGAUUAGCUAGUUGGUGGGGUAAAGGCCUACCAAGGCGACGAUCCGUAACUGGUCUGAGAGGAUGAUCAGCCACACUGGAACUGAGACACGGUCCAGACUCCUACGGGAGGCAGCAGUGGGGAAUAUUGGACAAUGGGCGAAAGCCUGAUCCAGCCAUGCCGCGUGUGUGAAGAAGGUCUUCGGAUUGUAAAGCACUUUAAGUUGGGAGGAAGGGCAGUAAGUUAAUACCUUGCUGUUUUGACGUUACCAACAGAAUAAGCACCGGCUAACUUCGUG
Molecule: ribosomal RNA, 484 nt
Filed under: uncultured bacterium
Lineage: Bacteria
Description: partial 16S ribosomal RNA
Rfam family: Bacterial small subunit ribosomal RNA
Source: RNAcentral